ACAAUGGAGAGUUUGAUCCUGGCUCAGGAUGAACGCUAGCGGCAGGCUUAAUACAUGCAAGUUGAACGGGAUUUAUUGAGUAGCAAUACUUGGUAAUGAGAGUAGCGCACGGGUGCGUAACACGUAUGCAACCUACCUUUAACCGGGACAUAACCUCUAGAAAUGGAAGCUAAUAUCCCAUGUGAUUACCGGGGGGCAUCUUUUGGUAAUUAAAAUUCAGAUGGUUAAAGAUGGGCAUGCGUCCCAUUAGCUAGUUGGCGGGGUAACGGCUCACCAAGGCGACGAUGGGUAGGGGUUCUGAGAGGAUGAUCCCCCACACUGGUACUGAGACACGGACCAGACUCCUACGGGAGGCAGCAGUAAGGAAUAUUGGUCAAUGGACGCAAGUCUGAACCAGCCAUGCCGCGUGCAGGAAGACGGCCCUAUGGGUUGUAAACUGCUUUUGUACGGGAAGAACUACAUUUACGAGUAAAUGUUUGACGGUACCGUAAGAAUAAGGAUCGGCUAACUCCGUGCCAGCAGCCGCGGUAAUACGGAGGAUCCGAGCGUUAUCCGGAUUUAUUGGGUUUAAAGGGUGCGCAGGCGGGUAUAUAAGUCAGAGGUGAAAUUCCAGGGCUCAACCUUGGGACUGCCUUUGAUACUGUAUGUCUAGAGUAUAGUUGGAGUGGGCGGAAUGUAGCAUGUAGCGGUGAAAUGCUUAGAUAUGCUACAGAACACCGAUCGUGAAGACAGCUCACUAAGCUAUAACUGACGCUCAGGCACGAAAGCAUGGGGAGCAAACAGGAUUAGAUACCCUGGUAGUCCAUGCCGUAAACGAUGAUUACUCGCUGUUAGCGAUACACAGUUAGCGGCUAAGCGAAAGUGAUAAGUAAUCCACCUGGGGAAUACGAUCGCAAGAUUGAAACUCAAAGGAAUUGACGGGGGCCCGCACAAGCGGAGGAGCAUGUGGUUUAAUUCGAUGAUACGCGAGGAACCUUACCUGGGCUCGAACGUAGUUGGACUAUGGGUGAAAGCCUGUAUUUCUUCGGAACUGACUACGAGGUGCUGCAUGGUUGUCGUCAGCUCGUGCCGUGAGGUGUUAGGUUAAGUCCUGCAACGAGCGCA
RNAcentral lists this ribosomal RNA (1104 nucleotides) under Bacteroidota bacterium. Its description in RNAcentral is "bacterial SSU rRNA". It matches the Rfam family "Bacterial small subunit ribosomal RNA", at positions 1 to 1100 of the family's 1533-position model. The record is from RNAcentral. Lineage: Bacteria; Pseudomonadati; Bacteroidota.